CCCAUAAUAAAGUUAUUUUUAUUUGGAUGUCCUUUUCCAUGACUUUGUAAUAUUAAUUAUAGUCAUCAUCAGCCCUAAAUAAAUAGUAAACUUGAAGAGCAUAUGGAUGUUUCAAAAGUAAAAGCUAUAGUGUAUGAGUGACAAACUAUGAGGACAGCAUUAUAAUAAACAAUGCAGUCAGCGGCCUAUGCCAACCAUGACACAGUUCAAUCCCUUGGGUCUAUCAGUCAAACCUCCUGAAGAGAAUUUAAGUCUGGAGAUGUCAUCAGGAUGUCCUGGUCCAUUCGGGCUGCUAUAACAGAAUACCAUAGAUUAGUUGGCUUAUAAAAAACAGAAAUGUAUUUCUCACUGCUUGGAAGACUGGGAAGUCCAAGACCAAGGUGCCAGUAGAUUUGAUGCCUGGUGAUGACCUGAAACUUUGUUCAUAAAUGGGUAUCUUUUGACUGUGUCCUCAUUUGGCAGAACUGGGCUAGCUAAGCUUCAAGGGUCUUUUCUAUAAGGGUACUAAUCUCAUUCAGGAGGGCUCUGUUCUCAUGACUACCUUCCAAAGGCCCUGCCUGCUAAUACUAUCACCUUGAGGACUAGGAUAUGAUCAUAUGCAUUUCGGGGGACACAAAUAUUCAGAACACAACAUGCAGUAAUUUAAAGAGAAGCAAAAUCCUGGCGUCAAGGUUACCUGGUGAAUUGUUUCCAAGUCCUACUAAAUCACAGCUGUAGGAUGGGAGUUCAACUUGGGCCUGGGUAAGCAUCAAACUAAUUGCAGAAACUUAGACUGGCACAGACUUGGGGGUGCUCUUUGAAAAGUGAAUACUGUUAUCAGGUAAUUCACUUGCAUGGCAUGUUACAGGUUCUGAAAAACCAAUCAAUGAUCAGCUUAAUUUUGUUCAAUCUAGUAUUUGAUUAGUUUUUUUUUUACAUGCUGCACCCAUGGCAAAUAUAAGUUCCCAGGCUAGGGGUCAAAUUGGAGCUGCAGUUACCAGCCUACACCACAACCACAGCAACACCAGAUCCAAGCCACAUCUGCAACCUACACCACAGUUCACCUCAAUGCUGGAUCCCUGACCCACUGAGUGAGGCCAGAGAUUGAACCCACAUCCUCAGGGAUACUAAUCAGAUUAGUUUCAACUGUGCCACAACAGGAACUCCUGGUAAGAGCAUCUUUUUUUUCAAGAAAUACUAACAACUCACAUAAAUCAAUAUUCUAGGGCAUUUUAUUUAGCAAUUACUAUUUUUAGAAAUUUGGGGAUAAUUUGGUAACAUAUAUAAGAAAAUAUAAUCUUUGGAGUUCUGGCUGUGGCUCAGCAUUGCUGUGGCUGUGGCUGGCAGCUGAAGCUCCGAUUUGAGACCUAGCCUGUGAACCCCCCAUAUGCUGCAAGUGUGGCCCUAAAUUUUAUAUAUACACACACACACACAAAAUCUUAAAAUGGACACAGGUCAACUUGAUCUUUCUCAAUAAUUUCUAGACACAUUUUUAUAUUGUUGUCCCUAAUGGUAAAAUGGAUAACCUGAACACUUUUAAUCUAAUGUGGUAUCUAAUUGGCUUAUUCUGCUAGGAGACACAGAUGAAAUAAUACUACUUUUAAAACUACAGGAGUUUCCUGAUGGCUCAAUGGGUUAAGGAUGCUGAUGCAGUUGACACUGCAGUGGCUGAGGUCGCUGCUGUGGUAGUUUGUUCCCUGGCCCAGGAACUUCUGAAUGCUGCAGGGCAUGGCCAAAAAAAAAGUAGAAAUGAAUACAAUUUAAAAAGUAAAAGAGUUUCCCCUGUGGCUCAGUGGAUUACGAACCUGAUUAGUAUCCAUAAUGAUGUGGGUUUGAUUCCGGGCCUCGCUCAGUGGGUUAAAAGAUCUAGCAUUGCUGUAAGGUGCGGUGUAGGUUGCAGAUGCAGUUUGGAUCUGGCGUGGCUAUGGUAGAGGCCGGCAGCUGCAGCUCCAAUUUGACUCCUAGCCUGAGAACUUCCAAUAUGCUGCAGGUGCAGCCCUAAAAAGUGGGGGGGGGGAGUUGAAAAAUUUUUCCUCUCCAAUUUCCCAUUAAAAUCAGAAGAUACUUGGAGUUCCCGUUAUGACUCAGGGGGUAAAGGAUCCCAUGUCAUCUAUAUCCCUGGCCUUGCUCAGUGGGUUAAGGACCCAGUGUUGAUGCAAGAUGCAGUGUAUGUCACAGAUGCAGCUCAGAUCUGGUGUUGCUGUGACUGCGGUGUUGGCUGCAGCUUCAGCUCCAAUUUGACCCCGUGGCCCGGGAACUUCUAUAUGCUGCAGGUGUGGCAGAUUAAAAAAAAGGGGGGGGGAUUACAAAAAAAAGAAGAUACUUUUAAUUUUGAAAAGCCUGCUACAAGUUCCUGUCAUGGCACAGUGGAAACAAACCCGACUAGGAACCAUAAGGUUGCAGGUUCGAUCCCUGACCUUGCUCAUGGGUUAAGGAUCUGGUGUUGCAAGGUGCAGCAUAGG
RNAcentral lists this long non-coding RNA (2441 nucleotides) under Sus scrofa (pig). RNAcentral's name for it is "lncRNA (ENSSSCG00045031998.1)". The record is from RNAcentral. Lineage: Eukaryota; Metazoa; Chordata; Mammalia; Artiodactyla; Suidae.